UACUUUAAUAUGUAUUUCCUCUUCACUUAACAAGUGCCAAAAACCUAAAAUUUUAAAUUUGAAUGACAAAAAAGGGGUAUAAUUAUAACCCAACAUUCAUUGUUCAAUAAAUUUGUAUAAUUGCUUCUCCCCUUAUUUUUUUCAAUUAGUCAUCGUGGUGGUGUUGGCAUUGCAAUGAACAUCGUGGUAGGAGUUACUACGGUCGAUGAGAUGGCAACCGCUAUAGUGGUGGAGGAGAAUAUGGAGGUGGCGGUCACGGCAGAGUUCGUGGAGGCGGCGGAUUCAAAUGAGGAAAUAGUGGAAUAGAGUAGAUUAGUGGAAAAAACUAAGCGGCGAUGAUUUAGAGCACAUGCAGGAAAACUAGGAAAGCAUAGAGCACAUCAGCGGCAAGAAGAACAGAACGGUGAGAUAUAUUUAUUUUUUGUUAUCAAUUUUUUUCUUUGAUAUGAGAAUUUAAAACUUCAAUGUUGUUUAAUUUUCUGAUCAGCUAAUGUCUCCUUAAAAUCUGAUUAGGUAAGAAAGGCUGGUGGUGUUAGGUGGAAGUCCAUGUAUGAUGCUUAACCAUAUCAAGUAAAGGCUGAGAAAAAUAAACUAACAUAUGAGGAGGAUAUCAGGGCCUACGACAAAAGAUUGGUGAUUACUUUAACUCAAUGUUGUGACUCUCUCUUAUAUUGUGAUUCAUACUAAUCAUAUGGUUGAACUCUUUUGAUGUAUUAAAAUGAGAGCGGAGAUUCUAAUAAGUCAAAAUUCGAGUAAAUCGAUGAUGAUGAAGAGGUGAUAGAGCUUUGAACUUUAUUUUCAAUUGUGAAAUAGAUUCUGACAUUAGUUGUUAUUAUUUGUUGUUAUUGUUUUUUAACUGAUGCUUGAGUUACUAUAUUUUUAUUCUUAGGCAUUUUAAUAUCACAAGUGAUAUUGCAUGGUUAGCAGACAGAACAGUAAAAUUUUGGGAUUUAAGAACCUUUGAACUAAUUGAAUCUACUAAACAAGAGGUA
Non-coding RNA from Arachis ipaensis, 992 nucleotides. The record is from RefSeq and is a predicted model, not a curated record. Lineage: Eukaryota; Viridiplantae; Streptophyta; Magnoliopsida; Fabales; Fabaceae.